This 222-nucleotide ribosomal RNA is filed under the name uncultured bacterium. Its description in RNAcentral is "partial 16S ribosomal RNA". It matches the Rfam family "Bacterial small subunit ribosomal RNA", at positions 118 to 338 of the family's 1533-position model. The record is from RNAcentral.
UGAGCAAUCUGCCCUUCACUCGGGGAUAAGCCUCGGAAACGAGGUCUAAUACCCGAUACGACCAGCCUUCGCAUGAGGUGCUGGUGGAAAGUUUUGUCGGUGGAGGAUGUGCUCGCGGCCUAUCAGCUUGUUGGUGAGGUAACGGCUCACCAAAGCGACGACGGGUANCUGGUCUGAGAGGAUGGCCAGCCACAGUUGGGACUGAGACACCGGCCCAGACCU